UACAGAGGUCUCAAGCGUUGUUCGGAUUCAUUGGGCGUAAAGGGUGCGUAGGCGGCGCGGUAAGUCGGGUGUGAAAUCUCGGAGCUUAACUCCGAAACUGCAUUCGAUACUGCCGUGCUUGAGGACUGGAGAGGAGACUGGAAUUUACGGUGUAGCUGGUGAAAUGCGUAGAUAUCGUAAGGAAGACCAGUGGCGAAGGCGGGUCUCUGGACAGUUCCUGACGCUGAGGCACGAAGGUCAGGGGAGCAAACGGG
This 254-nucleotide ribosomal RNA is filed under the name uncultured bacterium. RNAcentral describes it as "partial 16S ribosomal RNA". It matches the Rfam family "Bacterial small subunit ribosomal RNA", at positions 524 to 776 of the family's 1533-position model. The record is from RNAcentral.